Molecule: ribosomal RNA, 762 nt
Filed under: Triticum aestivum (bread wheat)
Lineage: Eukaryota; Viridiplantae; Streptophyta; Magnoliopsida; Poales; Poaceae
Description: partial small subunit ribosomal RNA
Source: RNAcentral
AUGGCGUGGAGGCGGCUGGCGAGCGGUGCCUCUAUGGCGGCGCAUCUCCGGCGGGGCGUCCCCUCUCCCUCCUUCGCCCCCGCCCGCGCCUUCUCCGCCGCCAGCCCUACCCUUCCUGCCAGGCACGCGUUGCAGGGCAUCUGGUCGCGGUGUUCGAGCUCGGCCCCCGGGUUUCAGGCUCGCGCCCCCAUGCUCCGAGCUCUGCUGGCCGCGAGGGUGUCCCCCGGAGUUCGUCCGAAGCUUCCAGGUCUACUGAGGGGAUUUGGGACGGGCGGCACCGCAAUUGCUGUCAUGCUCUAUCCCACAAAGGUUGCUGAGGCACAAGAGCGACCGGCAAAAAGCCCAUCAGAAGAUAUCACUGUGCUCUCACCAUAUUCGAAACAAGUUCUUAGGAAAUUCUGGAAUUUGGUCAGAAAAUUUCAGCUGCCUAUCGGUUUGAUUCUUUUGAUUGUGUAUGGUUGGCGGAAACCAAUGGUUCUUGCCAUCAAUACAUUGCUUCUUCUCUACUCUACAAGGCCGGACCCCUAUUCCAUAUACUUGUUUCUUCAGGAGAUUCAUCAAGGGAAGGUGCAGCAAAAUCCUGCAUUGUGGAAGGAGGAGGUCAUCCAGACAAGAAAAGUUGAUACCGAAGACUACAAGUUCUUUUCUAUUGGGACGGUCGAAUUAAAGGACAGAACAGUACUGCAUGUGAUUGGAAUUCUGGGCAAUUGGUGGAUCUAUCAUGUGUCGUAUGACAAGAGAGUGGAGCAGUUGUACUUGUAA